Ictalurus punctatus (channel catfish) is the source of this 3592-nucleotide long non-coding RNA. Lineage: Eukaryota; Metazoa; Chordata; Actinopteri; Siluriformes; Ictaluridae. The record is from Ensembl.
CUUGUUUGUCUGUCUACCUGCCUACAUGUCUGUCUGCUUGUCUGUGGGUCUGUUUAGUAUGUCUGUCUGUGGCGUUAUCGGUCAGUCUGUCUGUCUGUCUUGUUGUCUGCCCACCUGUCUAUCAGUCUGUCUGUUUGCCCACUGGUCUGUCUAACUACCCGUUGUCUAUAGACCUGUCUGUCUCUCUGAUUAUGUAUAAAACCUCUCCAGUAUGUCCGUGGUGGUGUGUUUGAGAUUAAUCAGCACUUUGGAGGAGGAUCUGUCUGUCUGUUUGCCUGUCUGUCUACAUACCUGUCUGUCUGUCUACAGAGUGUUUUAUAUAAUGUUAAAUACAGCGUCACGUUCACAAACGUAUGGAACGUUUUAAAGAAACGUUAUCGCAGCUUUAUCGCUAUGAUUUCUACCGACGAGUUCGUAGAACGUUCCUGAGCGUAGUCCGGCGUACAGGAUGACUGACGUGUCUGAGGGGAGAGAAAAAGCGAGACAGAAGACCGAGAGGACAACGAGAUAUCGACUGGAGAAUACAGAAGAAACAUGAAGCUCAUAAUAUGUGUACUGUGUUGGGACACGGGAAGGGAGGAACAAAUCAUGGUGAAAGAAAGAGAAAGACAGUUAGAGAGAGAGACAGACUGAGAGAGAGAGAGAGAGAAGAGGAGAUUAGUAUGCAUGAGCUCACUGUCUCCUCUAAAGCACUUUGUCACCCUAUUCACUCCCUCUGAGCUCUUAUUGAGUCUGGGGUCAUGGCACAGUAAGUACAGUACGGCAGAGAGACAGACAGCUGCAGUUAGACAGCUUGGAUUGUGCAGAAAGACAGGACAUGGCCAUGGGCAGAGACACUGGAGACAGCUUUAGCAGAGGGACAAGAAAUGGGUUAUACAGAGAGACAGGAGUAAGAAGAAAGACAGUAGACAGGCAUACGCAGAGAGACGGUAGACAGGUUUAGCAGAGAGACAGGCAUAAGCAGAGAGACAGGCAUAAGCAGAGAGACAGGAGACAGGCAUAAGCAGAGAGACAGUAGACAGACAUAAGCAGAAAGACAGUAGACAGGUUUAGCAGAGAGACAGGCAUAAGCAGAGAGACAGUAGACAGGCAUAAGCAGAGAGACAGGCAUAAGCAGAGAGACAGUAGACAGGUUAAGCAGAGAGACAGGCAUAAGCAGAAAGACAGUAGACAGGCAUAAGCAGAGAGACAGGCAUAAGCAGAGAGACAGUAGACAGGCAUAAGCAGAGAGACAGGCAUAAGCAGAGAGACAGGCAUAAGCAGAGAGACAGUAGACAGGUUUAGCAGAGAGACAGGCAUAAGCAGAGAGACAGUAGACAGGCGUAAGCAGAGAGACAGGCAUAAGCAGAGAGACAGUAGACAGGUUUAGCAGAGAGACAGGCAUAAGCAGAGAGACAGUAGACAGGCGUAAGCAGAGAGACGGGCAUAAGCAGAAUGUCAGUAGACAGGUUUAGCAGAGAGACAGCUUCAACAUAGAAAGAGACAAAAGAACAUAAUCAGCAGAGACCGGUAGACAGGAGACAGCGCAACCAAGGCAGAGUUUAUCAGUGGGUGUGAGCGAGAGAGAGAGAGAGAGAGAGAGAGAGAGCGCGAGAGAGAGAGACAGCUGUCUUAUAUCCUGUAAUUCAGUUCAUUGGAUGUUGGUGAAAAUGUAAAGGCACGGCAGAGCGCACUGGUGCGUGUUGAAGACGGAGAGUAGUGUUUACUCAUGUCGCUGAAUUUCACGGCGUUUUGAACGAACAAAUCUUUGGCAUUAUCGCCGAUCCGUAAAUAAGUGUUUCCUCCUCUCUGACGCUUAGCUGCUGCGUUGUUCUUCUUCAGCAACUUGUAAUGGCACGCCAUGCAGAUCUGUCAUCAGUGUUUCCUUCUGGUGUGUGUGUGUGUGUGUGUGUGUGUGUGUGUGUGUGUGUGUGAGAUCAUGCUCGUUCUCUUCCUCCCUGUCUCGGAGGAUCUGUAAAGCACGAGACAAUACAGCACGGUCUGAGGAACAUCUGAAGCGUGUGGAAGAAGUCGGCCAUGUUUGAUGGGCACUCUGGGUGGUGUGUUAGUGAGAAAAACAGGAAGUGAAGAGGAUGGAACAGGAAAUUAAUCCCGAGGAUAAUGAAUAUAAUAUAAAAUUCUGGUUUAAGUGUGUGUGUGUGUGUGUGCACGUCCUGAAGUGUUUUAUUCCUUCACACCACAGCGAAUUUUCCACUGAUUCCGUUUUGUAUUUAUUAAAGAACGACACACAAUGUAGUUAUACCCCAGCACGUGGUUUCAACGGAAGGAGUCUCCAGUGUCGGAGGUAAAGCUGGAAGUUGUUGUUUUUUUUUUUUUCUCUGACAUCUUUAGGACAGAGGGGGUUUUAAUCAUUUUUUUUUGUGUAUCAAACAGUGUUUAUUACAGAACGAGAAAGUGAAGGGACGACAGUUUAGGGCUGCCGCAAGAUAAGUAACGGCAGAAACUCGUGUUGUGGACGUUCUGUAACAAUAAACGGACAAAAAAUAUAUAUUUUCCAAAAAUGUCAUCUUUGGAGAAUUGUUCAGCAGCGGUUAGAAUCCUGGUCAUGAACUGACGAGGUUAAAAUGAGGGAUUGUCGGAGUGAGAGAAACGGCUAAACACGUAGCGUAGUGCUAAGAAAAACAUACACACAAGCACACACACACACACACACACAUUACGUUAGUGUGUAAAUGUUCGAUCUGUUACUGUGUGGGAUUUACACACUGCGUUUAUUCACGUUCUCCUCAUCCUCACUGUGUGCUGCACUUAAAUCUUGCAUCACUCUUGUUUUUAUUUCAAUGCUAAGCUACCUUUAGGGCUUUGAGCCGCCGGUCGUGUCCCAAACCCAUAACACUCUGGUGCUCGGUGUGGUUCGGACCCACCGCAGCACAGUGGAGAGGCUUCAAAGAGCCUGUAGACUAAACAAACAGCUGUUUCUCUCUCUCUCUCUCUCUCUCUCUCUCCUCUUUUUUUUCCUCUUCUCCUUUCAUUUUCUUCGUUCUUUCUCCUUUCCUCCUGGUCCACAUCUCGGAUUGUUCGGGGUUUUCGUUUUAACCCGUCCCGGACUCGGUGCUCUGUGUUUUGCGGUCGAGCGAGUUAAAAUAGCAGUUUAGGAAUGUUCUGUGUCACAGGUGUACAUCAACUCGACGCCUUAUUUCGUCUGCCUGGAAGUAGAAAAUAAAAAGAGUAAUAAAACGAACCGAUUCGUACCGACGCUGUAUUUUGACACUGGAGCGACGUGACUGAAAUGUCGCAGCUGACAGCGUUGUAGAAAUGACGGGUUUCAUUUAUUAAAAUGAUAUUUCACUGCACUGCUACUACCGUCGAAUAGCUCUGUUUUAAUUAAAUACAAAAAGUUUUGUGACGAUAACACAACACAGUCCUGUUCUCUGUGUAGAGUUCAUUUAUUACAGUCUCGGCUAGCGUGUGUGUGUGUGUGUGUGUGCGCACGCUACAUGCACUAGGAGUGUACUGACUCGUGUGGGGACGAGUGUGACGCGGUCGCCGCUCCUGUUGACCCCGUGACCUUGUGUUGUGGAGCCACUCCAACAAGGAGGCUUCUGUUCUGUAGAAUGACAUCACAGGUCCUCUCACCUACUAGUCUGUGUGU